CUGAAAGCCCUUGGAAAAUGAAUGAAGCUGAGGUCAGCAGCGGGCAGCUGUGAGCAUUAUUAUAAAUUCACUGGGGUUACUGAAAUCCAAUGCUGGACUCUUUAUGGUGAAAGUCCUGGCUCUCCCAGAAAUGAACAUUUUAAUGACAAACUGGGAAACGACGUAUCCAUCCCCAGAACACAUGGCAGUAGACUGAGAGAUGUGUGUUCAGCUGACAGUGGUCAUUCUGAGGCCAGAAACAGUGCAUUGUGGGAAACACGGACUUUCAGAGGACAGGACCAGAGUCUCAGGCCACUGAAGGCUAGAAAUGCCAUCUGCCUUUAUAUUCCUUGGUGCUUGGUACAAAACAAAUCCUUAAUAAAUACAUGUUGAAAGCAAUACCUGGGAACCCUAAAGCUUAUGGUACAACUGACCCAAAUAGCUCCAGGAUCCCUCCAGCAAGUGGAA
RNAcentral lists this long non-coding RNA (447 nucleotides) under Pan troglodytes (chimpanzee). RNAcentral describes it as "long non-coding RNA NONPTRT007266". The record is from RNAcentral. Lineage: Eukaryota; Metazoa; Chordata; Mammalia; Primates; Hominidae.